Molecule: unclassified non-coding RNA, 303 nt
Filed under: uncultured fungus
Lineage: Eukaryota; Fungi
Also listed under: 1 other name
Description: sequence contains ITS2
Rfam family: 5.8S ribosomal RNA (bases 1-52)
Source: RNAcentral
AACGCACCUUGCGCUCCCUAGUAUUCUGGGGAGCAUGUCUGUUUGAGUGUCAUGAACUCUUCAACCCACUAGUUUCUUGUAGACUAGCUGGUGUUUGGAUUUUGAACGUUGCUGGUCUUCGGACGUAGCUCGUUCGUAAUACAUUAGCAUCUCUAAUUCGAAUUCGGAUUGACUCAGUGUAAUAGACUAUUCGCUGAGGACACUUUUAUUAGUGGCCGAACAAGAUCAUUGUAGAAGCUUCGAACCUCUAUAGUCAAUUUUAGAUUAGACCUCAGAUCAGGCAGGAUUACCCGCUGAACUUAA